UGGUGGAGUGAUUUGUCUGGUUAAUUCCGUUAACGAACGAGACCCCCGCCUGCUAACUAGCUGACAUAAUGCUUUAGUCAUUGUGUGCAGAUACUUCUUAGAGGGACUUUCGGUGACUAACCGAAGGAAGUUGGGGGGCGAAUAACA
Molecule: ribosomal RNA, 147 nt
Filed under: uncultured eukaryote
Lineage: Eukaryota
Description: partial 18S ribosomal RNA
Rfam family: Eukaryotic small subunit ribosomal RNA
Source: RNAcentral